GCCUCCAACCCGAGCUAACCUGGAAACUCUAGAAAACAUGGGAAAGAAGAGGGGGGUAAGCUUUCGCUUAGUAAGUUCAUAUGAAAACAAUAUGCAACUCAUUAACUUGUUUUAUCAAUGUUUACAACAUAUUCUCAAGUUCACUACAAGCUGUCUUUCUGAGCAACGGUCACUAAAUUAUUUAUAUCUAGAGCUAAGAAACUCUGAAUUAAGUUCCGUUAAUUUUCCCUGAAACUAGACUUAUUUUCAUUUCUUCCAUAAAAUUUCCAGAAUUUUUUAGUUAAGAAAAAUACUACAGUUUAUUCCUCAAAGUUACCAUUUAUUCACUGUCUGACAGUUCCGACCCUUCUGUACUAAAGUUCAAUUAUCUCAUAGUACAAGACUCGAAUAAUGUUCUCGUCUAUUUCUCUUGAAACUAGACUCAUAUUUCUACUUACUAAUUUUUUUCUAGAAUUUUUUGUUGUGCCAAUUAGUACAGUUUAUUAGUUAAAGUCUCCCCUGUUUCAGGGUAUGACCACUCUGACCCCUGUGCACUACAAACCGAAUUUAUCCCUGUAAAAAAUUCCAACGACCAUACCAUUUAUUUACCCUAAAAAUAGACUCAAUAAGGAAUCUAUGCAUGUAAGGUAUGACUCUUAAUAAUUUUUUUUACAAUUUUUUUUGAAUUUCUAAAUUCAGAACAGAGGAUCUCGAAUUCAUUCAGACCCUGUUUCACAAGAAUUCAAAUAUCACACAAUAUGGAAUUCUUUUUCUUCCCCUGUUUCUUUCAUGUGAAAAUAGACUCAUUAAGAUUUAAUCCCAUAUUUUAUUCUGCCUCUAACUCAUUUUCCACUAUUUUUAGUGUAUUUUCAAAGUUACACUACUGCAGUAACUCAAAUCUGUCAAGGCUAAAUUACUCAUUCAUGAUCAUUAUUCACAAAAUUAAUACAACAUCGUUUGUAUAAUCAUCACCGAGACAUUCAUAUCACAUUUUCAUUUACCAUCUUACCAUAUUGUUGUUAUGUCGAGUUUUCAACCCGAGGGUUAAGUACAUACCUGUUCAAAGUAUCCAUUUCACAACAUUUACCAAUACGUCCCUUUCAUCUUGAGUAUUCCUCCAUUUGAGUAGAAUUUUACCCGUUGAACACAUCGGAAUAUAAUUCGGAUAUAUGGAAAGUUUGCACAUAAGUGCCACAUAUGUAGCCAAGCUACCAUGUAACCCGCCCAUAAGUGAACUCGGACUCAACUCAACGAGCUCGAGCGUUCGUAUCCAUAAGUGAACUCGGACUCAACUCACGAGCUCGAAUGCCUAGUUACAUCUCACGAACUCGGACUCAACUCAACGAGUUCGAACAUUCGCAUCCAUAAGUGAACUCGGACUCAACUCAACGAGUUCGGAUGCUAAACCAUCCUAGUGACAUGUCACUUGUAUCCUAAUCUAUUCCUAAGGUUCAAACGGGAUUUUUCUCGAACACAUAUCCUUGCCAUCUUCCGUAAAAUACCGAAACCAAUACUCGGUAGCACUUUAUAUUUAACAGAUAAUACACAUAACUUGCAUUUUAUUCGAAAAUAACCACAAAGCAUAUAUUUCAUGAUAAAAAUCAGCAUAUCAUAUAUUUAACAUCAAUAACUUAAAAAUAAAAAUUAUGCUACAUUAUUUACACAUGAACUUACCUCGAUACCACAAAAGUGAAAAAAAAAGACGUAAUUAUCCCUUAAUCGAUUUCUUUCCGUUCUAGGUCCAAAUCUUGAUUUUCAUCAUCUAAAAUAUCACAUUCAACUUAUUAAAACAAUGUACUGAUCAAAUUAGUCCAUUGACACACUUGGGCAAUUUUUACAAUUUUGCCCCUAUAUUUUGCCAAAAUUACCAAAUUACCCCUAGGCUCGCAAAAUAAUUUUUAUCACAUUUCUUUACUCCUUGAGUCUAGAUGAACCAUUUUCAUAACUAUAGCAACUCAUAAUUUCAACUAUUUCACACAUUUACAACUCAUUUUACAACUUAGCAAUUUAGCCCUUUUUAAGGUGUUUUCAUGCAAUUUCUUUCACAAAAGUUGUUUAUUAGACAACUAGGACUCAUAAUCUUCCAUAAAAACACAGCAAACAACACAUUUACUCUCAUGGAAAAACCCUACACUCUUCAUCAUUUUGCAAAAUAGUCCUCUCUUAUGAAAGCUCAUGCUUUAGGGGUUCCAAAAAUGUAAAAAUCAUCAAACAAAGACAUUAAAAUCACUUAC
Molecule: long non-coding RNA, 2213 nt
Filed under: Gossypium barbadense (sea-island cotton)
Lineage: Eukaryota; Viridiplantae; Streptophyta; Magnoliopsida; Malvales; Malvaceae
Description: long non-coding RNA (GBAR_LNC008387)
Source: RNAcentral